Rhinopithecus bieti (black snub-nosed monkey) is the source of this 1954-nucleotide long non-coding RNA. NCBI's taxonomy places the organism in Eukaryota, Metazoa, Chordata, Mammalia, Primates, Cercopithecidae. The record is from Ensembl.
CACAGCUUCACUCCACUGAGACAUACAGAGACACACCUCCCUUAUUUAUCAAAACAAGCACUUAAAAAGGAUUCUUACCAUGGUCAACGUGAGCCAAAACACAAAUAUUCCUGAUGUUGGCAGUGUUUUUCUGGAGAUGAAUCAUCUUAUCCAAACUGUUGAGCACCAUGGUUUACUUAUUUCCUGUGACUAAAAAUUAAGUAAGUAUUAGCCCAGAGAUUAAAGGUCGGGGCAAAAGAAAAAAAUAAUAAAUGCUAGGAGGUGGCAAGGCUUCUCAAACCCCUUAAACUAAGAACCCAGUGAAUAUUUAUUGAUGAGACACACCACCUAGGCCUAAGUCCCGUUCGUGCACUAAAGUCAAUAUCCUAGCACAAUUAUACUUAAGGAGUUUGCUCAUCCUUCCGGAUCCGAAGGCUGCGAUGAAUCACGCAGCUCGAGGCGGCUGGGUGCAGAGUGACACCAGUAACCCUGCCGGUGGAGGAGUACUGGGCUAAACUUCUCCAGGCCAAUGACCACGUACAGGAAGGGUUGCAUGCAGGAGGGAGAGAAGAUGCUGAAGAAGAUGCUCCCUUUCUCUCUUCAGUCUUCCCCCAAGUCCCUCAUUCUGACAUUCUCGCUAGUCCUCGCGCAAGGUGGAAUACCCAGCUUUAUUCCUGCCCACGGAGCCCGAACAAAAUUUUGGGUCACGUGCUUAUUAUCCAAGCAGGUGCAUUGCCGGUCUUUCAUUCCUUUCUAAAUAAAAAGGAAAAACCUCUACACUACAUGCCCUUCAUUUCGGCAGGGUCCCGGAUUCGCUCUCUUUGAGAAUCGCUGGUCCACACAGACAGGCCACCGCCCCGGCCCCAGACUGGAAGCGACACUCCGGGGACCACCGCUCCCAGCCAGGGCUCGGCCCCAGCCCGCGUUCCCGCCUCAGAGCCGCAGCGAGCUGGGUCCUCCAAGCACCGCCCAAAGGCUGGCCAAGGAAGAUGCCAGUCCCCAGCGCGAGCUCGCACUCACCGGCGGCAGCAGCCCCACAAGCCCAGCUUCUCCUCUGGGGUCGCAGCCACACCAAGAGCUUCCGAAACGCAAAGAUCUCUGCGAGUCCGGCACGCCCGCGCGCCAGGGGGCGGGGCCGGCUGACGCUCGACCUUUCACCCGCGCGUCUCUGGCGCCACCGGAAGCCGGCGCCGGGUCUGUCACCAGGCAUAUCUCUGUUGCCUUGACUACGGCGGGCGCUGUGGGAGUGAAGAAGCCGCAAGUGCUGAGGCGCGGUGGAGGAAGGCAUGGGAGCCAAGAGCAUGAGGAGCUGGUGUCUGUGUCAGAUUUGUAUCUGCGGGUGACAUCAUUGUCCACAUGGAAUCACAAGGAUCUAUGAAAAUUCGGGGGUGUUUUGCCCUACAACUGAAUAUUUGGAAAAAUAUCCUAUGUAUGACAAUGUUCUUCCAGCUCAGAGCCUUAAACGCCAGCAAGAAAUUUAAGCAUGCCAUGGUAAAAUGGAAGGAAUAACUACAGUUAAGUAAAUAUUUAGUAACUAUUUGCUUUACUUAUUUUUCUCCCAACUCUUCUGGUGUCAAUAAAGUUUUCUAGCUAUUUAAAUUACUGUUUAGUUGAUGUAAGUUGAACCAAUUUAAUAGGCAACAGACUAGUUAAGUCACAACUUGAAAAAAAAACAGAAAAAUACGAAUUAAGUUAGGCUGACAAAGUGUGAGAAGAAAAAAGGGAUAUAAAAAGUUCUAUUUUUUUUUUAACUUCCUAAAAUAUCUCAUAUUUAUCUACUUUCCACUGUUACCACCACGUAGACCAGGGUGUUUUAUCUUUUGGCUUCACUGGGCCACAUUGGCAGAAGAAUCGUCUUGGGCCACACGUAAAAUACAAUAACACCAACCAUAGCUGAUGAGCUAAAAAAAAAAAAAAAAUCACAAGAAAAUCUCAUAAUGUUUUAAGAAAGUUUANGGUGUGCAGGAGAAAAUUU